RNAcentral lists this transfer RNA (73 nucleotides) under Allobates zaparo (sanguine poison frog). RNAcentral's name for it is "tRNA-Leu". It matches the Rfam family "tRNA". From Rfam's summary of the family: Transfer RNA (tRNA) molecules are approximately 80 nucleotides in length. Their secondary structure includes four short double-helical elements and three loops (D, anti-codon, and T loops). Further hydrogen bonds mediate the characteristic L-shaped molecular structure. tRNAs have two regions of fundamental functional importance: the anti-codon, which is responsible for specific mRNA codon recognition, and the 3' end, to which the tRNAs corresponding amino acid is attached (by aminoacyl-tRNA synthetases). tRNAs cope with the degeneracy of the genetic code in two manners: having more than one tRNA (with a specific anti-codon) for a particular amino acid; and 'wobble' base-pairing, i.e. permitting non-standard base-pairing at the 3rd anti-codon position. Lineage: Eukaryota; Metazoa; Chordata; Amphibia; Anura; Aromobatidae. The record is from RNAcentral.
GCUAAUGUAGCAAAUUAUGGCUCUGCCAAAGACCUAAACUCUUUUUAAAGAGGUUCAAAUCCUCUCACUAGCU